RNAcentral lists this ribosomal RNA (159 nucleotides) under uncultured bacterium. Its description in RNAcentral is "partial 16S ribosomal RNA". It matches the Rfam family "Bacterial small subunit ribosomal RNA", at positions 1343 to 1500 of the family's 1533-position model. The record is from RNAcentral.
CGCGGAUCAGCAUGCCGCGGUGAAUACGUUCCCGGGCCUUGUACACACCGCCCGUCACACCAUGAGAGCCGGUAAUACCCGAAGUCAGUAUCCUAACCGCAAGGGGGGGAGCUGCCGAAGGUAGGAUUGGCGAUUGGGGUGAAGUCGUAACAAGGUACC